Molecule: non-coding RNA, 22 nt
Filed under: Arabidopsis thaliana (thale cress)
Lineage: Eukaryota; Viridiplantae; Streptophyta; Magnoliopsida; Brassicales; Brassicaceae
Source: RNAcentral
UGAACCAGAUGAUGCGACCUCC